Molecule: ribosomal RNA, 502 nt
Filed under: uncultured bacterium
Lineage: Bacteria
Description: bacterial SSU rRNA
Rfam family: Bacterial small subunit ribosomal RNA
Source: RNAcentral
GAAAGAGGGGGACCUGCUUGCAGGCCUCUCGCGAGCGGAGCGGCCGAUGACUGAUUAGCCAGUUGGUGAGGUAACGGCUCACCAAAGCAACGAUCAGUAGCUGGUCUGAGAGGACGACCAGCCACACUGGGACUGAGACACGGCCCAGACUCCUACGGGAGGCAGCAGUGGGGAAUUUUGGACAAUGGGCGCAAGCCUGAUCCAGCUAUUCCGCGUGUGGGAUGACGGCCCUCGGGUUGUAAACCACUUUAGUAGAGAACGAAAAGGAGCUAUCGAAUAAAUAGCUCUGCUGACGGUACUCUAAGAAUAAGCACCGGCUAACUACGUGCCAGCAGCCGCGGUAAUACGUAGGGUGCGAGCGUUAAUCGGAAUUACUGGGCGUAAAGGGUGUGCAGGCGGCUGAGUAAGACAGAUGUGAAAUCCCCGGGCUUAACCUGGGAACCGCAUAUGUGACUGCUUGGCUAGAGUGCGUCAGAGGGAGGUGGAAUUCCACGUGUAGCAG